This is a long non-coding RNA of Helianthus annuus (common sunflower), 235 nucleotides long. RefSeq lists it as uncharacterized. NCBI's taxonomy places the organism in Eukaryota, Viridiplantae, Streptophyta, Magnoliopsida, Asterales, Asteraceae. The record is from RefSeq and is a predicted model, not a curated record. The transcript is spliced from 3 exons.
UUUUAGUGUUUGAUGAUGUUGUUACCUAGGUGAUAUCUGGGACGGAUCCUGACUAUCCGUUCUAAAUUAAGAAACGCUCUUCCCCGUGCACCAGAAAAGCAACUUUAUGCUCCUGCCAUACUUCAUACAUCACUUGCAAGGAUUCUUGGUCACCCAAAAAAUUCAUCCAAGGAAACGAAUGUGGAUUCAGAACUGAAACACUUUCAUGAAUUAGUAGCUCGUUUGCACAGUUGCA